This 1256-nucleotide long non-coding RNA is filed under the name Piliocolobus tephrosceles (Ugandan red Colobus). RNAcentral's name for it is "lncRNA (ENSPTEG00000026645.1)". The record is from RNAcentral. Lineage: Eukaryota; Metazoa; Chordata; Mammalia; Primates; Cercopithecidae.
CGGGGCGCGAGGGACCCUGCGCACUGGGCCUUCGGGGCGGCACUGGCACAGCGACCCGCCUGGGGCUGCCCACCACCCUCACAUCCCUAUGUCCGCCACCCCUGCACUCCAGGGACACCACGAACAGACGGUGCGAGCUCCCGGGCUCCGCGCUCUGCAGCGCCCCUGUGCAUGGGGCGGCCUCAGGAGGCCUGGGCUCCCGCAGCAGCGCCGGCCUCGGGCUGAGGUCCCCGAGCCAGGGCUCCACUUCCCGCUCAGCGGACCGCAGGAGUCAACCGAGGCACAGAGAGAGCCAGCUGCUGAGUCGGAUGCUGGCUACGCAGGUGGCAGGGUGGGCCUGCUGGGGGGAAGAUGACCAGGCUGUGUCCAAGCUGCAGCCCAAAUGCCCCCAGAAGAGGACAUCAUGAGUCAGCCUCCCACCUAGAGGGAGACAAUGGCACCAGAAGGACCAGUGGCUACCGGGCUUCGUGCAGUGUAGGGCACCCCUGAUAUGCCCCGUCCUUGCUCUUGCAGCCACCAACUUUGCCAGCAGCACUAACUGCUGCCUCCCUGAGGGCUCAGUCUACCCUGCAGCCUGUCUGGGCCACCUGCAUUCACCUCCGAGACCCAACACUUCAUACCCAUGGUCUCGGUGCCACAUCCAGGCACCACCCCAUGCUCCCCUCACCCCACACCCAAGUGUAGCGCUUCCCAAACCCCUGCCUAGAAGGCCACUAGCCCUGCCCGAGGUUUGCUCUCACGUAGGCCCCUGGCCCAAACCCCAGGUUGCAGGGUGAGCUCUCUCCUGGGCCCGCCCUCUGCCCUCUACUCUCCUGAUCCCUGUUUGGCCUCCUCGUAGAACCCCCACUGCCCCAUUCCCUACUUGAGCACUCCUAGAAGUAGGUCCAGCCUGGCCUUGGUGUCCAGGACUGCUGCCAGGACAAAGGACAGAGCAAUCGACGCAAGGACCUGCACCAGGACAACCGAGACAGCACGGCUGCCAAGAACCUUUUGUCAGAGAUGCUUGGGGAGUGUUUCUCUCAUUCCAACCAGGUCAGUCCUGCCUGAAUAGAGUGUGUGAUGCAGUGGGUGACAGGUGUGCAAACAGACAGCCCCUCCUUCUCCAGGCCGGUUCUGGGACAGGCACUGGGGUGAGUCUGGCCUGCAAUCAGGAAGGCUUCCUGGAAGAGGAGGCCUUGAGCUGAAUUUUGAAGGAUAUGAAAGGAAAAGUUUGCCAGGGGAUGCGAGACUGCCAAGAAGUGGGGGGGCACAUGGGC